AUUGAACGCUGGCGGCAUGCCUUACACAUGCAAGUCGAACGGUAACAGGUCUUCGGAUGCUGACGAGUGGUGAACGGGUGAGUAAUACAUCGGAACGUGCCCGAUCGUGGGGGAUAACGAAGCGAAAGCUUUGCUAAUACCGCAUACGAUCUACGGAUGAAAGCAGGGGACCGCAAGGCCUUGCGCGAACGGAGCGGCCGCUGGCAGAUUAGGUAGUUGGUGGGAUAAAAGCUUACCAAGCCGACGAUCUGUAGCUGGUCUGAGAGGACGACCAGCCACACUGGAACUGAGACACGGCCCAGACUCCUACGGGAGGCAGCAGUGGGGAAUUUUGGACAAUGGGCGAAAGCCUGAUCCAGCCAUGCCGCGUGCAGGAUGAAGGCCUUCGGGUUGUAAACUGCUUUUGUACGGAACGAAAAGACUCUGGUUAAUACCUGGGGUCCAUGACGGUACCGUAAGAAUAAGCACCGGCUAACUACGUG
This 482-nucleotide ribosomal RNA is filed under the name uncultured bacterium. RNAcentral's name for it is "partial 16S ribosomal RNA". It matches the Rfam family "Bacterial small subunit ribosomal RNA", at positions 30 to 507 of the family's 1533-position model. The record is from RNAcentral.